GCCGGCGUGGCGGAAUUGGCAGACGCGCGGGACUCAAAAUCCCGUUCCAGCUAAUGGAGUGCCGGUUCGAUCCCGGCCGCCGGUAUCA
RNAcentral lists this transfer RNA (88 nucleotides) under Staphylococcus simulans. RNAcentral describes it as "tRNA-Leu". It matches the Rfam family "tRNA". Rfam says of the family: Transfer RNA (tRNA) molecules are approximately 80 nucleotides in length. Their secondary structure includes four short double-helical elements and three loops (D, anti-codon, and T loops). The record is from RNAcentral. Lineage: Bacteria; Bacillati; Bacillota; Bacilli; Caryophanales; Staphylococcaceae.